Gopherus evgoodei (Goodes thornscrub tortoise) is the source of this 225-nucleotide long non-coding RNA. RefSeq lists it as uncharacterized. NCBI's taxonomy places the organism in Eukaryota, Metazoa, Chordata, Testudines, Testudinidae. The transcript has 2 exons. The record is from RefSeq and is a predicted model, not a curated record.
CGCUGAGCGCGCUCAGAAGAGUGUUUGAGAGGAGGUGUGCACGUCCGAGUGUAAGAGAGGCCGGAAAGAAUGCCUCAGAGACACCCUCUCUCACAGCAGCCCCAACCAAGCAAGAGAGAAAACAACAAAAACAUAACUGCUCACACUCACCAUCAAGCUCCAGCUGAUUCAAGAAGUCAUGAGAACCUGAAAAUCAAGUCCUGAGACAAUGUGCAAAUGCACUUU